UACGUAGGGUGCAAGCGUUAAUCGGAAUUACUGGGCGUAAAGCGUGCGCAGGCGGUUAUAUAAGACAGAUGUGCAAUCCCCGGGCUCCACCUGGGAACUGCAUUUGUGACUGUAUAGCUAGAGUACGGUAGAGGGGGAUGGAAUUCCGCGUGUAGCAGUGAAAUGCGUAGAUAUGCGGAGGAACACCGAUGGCGAAGGCAAUCCCCUGGACCUGUACUGACGCUCAUGCACGAAAGCGUGGGGAGCAAACAGG
RNAcentral lists this ribosomal RNA (253 nucleotides) under uncultured bacterium. Its description in RNAcentral is "partial 16S ribosomal RNA". It matches the Rfam family "Bacterial small subunit ribosomal RNA", at positions 524 to 776 of the family's 1533-position model. The record is from RNAcentral.